Molecule: non-coding RNA, 759 nt
Organism: Araneus ventricosus
Lineage: Eukaryota; Metazoa; Arthropoda; Arachnida; Araneae; Araneidae
Source: the annotation of a GenBank genome assembly
UUCUGAAAGAGGGUCAUAUUUCUCCCGCCGUUUACCCGCGCUUGGAUGAAUUUCGUCACUUUGACAUUCAGAGCACUGGGCAGAAAUUACAUUGCGUCAUCACCUGUCACCGACCAUCGCAAUGCUUUGUUUUAAUUAGAUAGUCCGAUUCCCUUAGUCCGUGCCAGUUCUGAGUCGGCUGUUAGUUGCCAGGCGAAACCGUCGGUCCGCACGAAAGCACGGUCACGGUCUGUGGCAAAGCAGAGACAUUCCACGGGUAGGCCCCGACACUGGUCCGGGACGAACCGGACUGAGUCGCCCCAGCCAGUCUCGCCCAGUCCCGGUGCAGUGCCACACCCGCUUCGGAUCCCAGCCCGACGGGCCCAGUCCUCAGAGCCAAUCCUUGACCCGAAGUUACGGAUCGAACUUGCCGACUUCCCUUAUCUACAUUGUUCUAUCGACUAGAGGCUGUUUACCUUGGAGACCUGCUGCGGAUAUGGGUACGGACCGGACCGGAAAUCACACUCUCUCCCUCGGAUUUGUAAGGGCCGACAGAGGCGCACGGGACACCACAAGAGCCGCGGUGCUUUUACGGAGACAGCGUCCUUAUCUCCGGACGAGCCGAUUCCAGGGACAUGAAUCCUUACAAAGAAAAGACAACUCUUCCCCGGGUCCUCCGUCGACGUCUCCGAGUUCGGUUGCGUUACUGCACUUGUUCCCGAGGGGACUAUUUCCGUGUCCGGGUUGAGGAAUAUCGACCCCAUUCCCUUUCGGUCGGCA